RNAcentral lists this ribosomal RNA (477 nucleotides) under uncultured Methanomethylovorans sp. Its description in RNAcentral is "bacterial SSU rRNA". It matches the Rfam family "Archaeal small subunit ribosomal RNA", at positions 861 to 1338 of the family's 1478-position model. Lineage: Archaea; Methanobacteriati; Methanobacteriota; Methanomicrobia; Methanosarcinales; Methanosarcinaceae. The record is from RNAcentral.
GGAAUUGACGGGGAGCACUACAACGGGUGGAGCCUGCGGUUUAAUUGGACUCAACGCCGGAAAACUCACCGGGGGCGACAGCAAUAUGUAGGUCAAGCUAAAGACUUUACCAGAAUCGCUGAGAGGAGGUGCAUGGCCGUCGUCAGUUCGUACUGUGAAGCAUCCUGUUAAGUCAGGCAACGAGCGAGACCCGUGCCCACUGUUGCCAGCAUGUCCUUCGGGACGAUGGGUACUCUGUGGGGACCGCCGAUGCUAAAUCGGAGGAAGGUGCGGGCUACGGUAGGUCAGUAUGCCCCGAAUCUCCCGGGCUACACGCGGGCUACAAUGACUGGGACAAUGGGCUCCUACCCCGAAAGGGGAUGGUAAUCUCAUAAACCCAGCCGUAGUUCGGAUCGAGGGCUGCAACCCGCCCUCGUGAAGCUGGAAUCCGUAGUAAUCGCGUUCCAACAUAGCGCGGUGAAUACGUCCCUGCUCCUU